CGCAAGAUGAGGAAAGUCCGAGCAUCUAGAGAACAUGGUGCAGGCUAACGGCCUGUGGGGGCGACCCUAAGGAUAGUGCAACAGAAAUAAACCGCCAAAAUUUGGUAAGGAUGGAAAGGUGGUGUAAGAGACCACCGAAAAGCUAGAGAUAGUUUUUGCUCUGUAAACCCCACCUGAUGCAAGGCUGAAGGGCAUAUGUGCGUUCUCUCACGCUCUUUUAGACCGCUUGAUUUUGCAGGCAACUGCAAAACUAGAUAGAUGAUUGUCAAAUACAGAACUCGGCUUACAGCAUCAC
This 295-nucleotide RNase P RNA is filed under the name chicken gut metagenome. Its description in RNAcentral is "Bacterial RNase P class A". It matches the Rfam family "Bacterial RNase P class A", at positions 35 to 354 of the family's 367-position model. From Rfam's summary of the family: Ribonuclease P (RNase P) is a ubiquitous endoribonuclease, found in archaea, bacteria and eukarya as well as chloroplasts and mitochondria. Its best characterised activity is the generation of mature 5'-ends of tRNAs by cleaving the 5'-leader elements of precursor-tRNAs. The record is from RNAcentral.